CGCGGGGUGGAGCAGCCAGGUAGCUCGUUGGGCUCAUAACCCAAAGGUCAUAGGUUCAAAUCCUAUCCCCGCAA
RNAcentral lists this transfer RNA (74 nucleotides) under SAR324 cluster bacterium. RNAcentral's name for it is "tRNA-Met". It matches the Rfam family "tRNA". From Rfam's summary of the family: Transfer RNA (tRNA) molecules are approximately 80 nucleotides in length. Their secondary structure includes four short double-helical elements and three loops (D, anti-codon, and T loops). Lineage: Bacteria; Deltaproteobacteria. The record is from RNAcentral.